AUGAUAUUUAGAUGCCUUUCAACAAGUGUCUCAACUUCAAAAUCCUACACAUUAAACGGAGCAGCCUUGCUUGGACCAAGCGCGCGAUCUCAAAAUGGGCUGCAGCUCCCUAUAGUCGUGUGUCUCAUCUUCUGGACGGCCCUUCAGUUUGAGAGCCAACCGCCCGCGCCCGCCCAACCCGUUAUUCUGACCGCCAUGGAAAACGCAAGCAACGGCGUCGUGUACCCAGUGAAAUCCAUCCAGCAGUUUAACAGCUCAUACUCGACUGGCAGACCAUAUUUCGACACCGUACCAUAAUAUGGAUAAAUAGCGUGGACAAUUAAACUUCGUCUCAGAAAAGUAGGCCCGUCGAUAUUGGCAUAAUGGAGCGGAAAUGCGCAGUGACCUUUUUUGUCUUUUCACAUACCGUCUUGAGGUGGUGGGACAUGCUCAGACCCUUGUCCAGAAAGAAACCAAGGUAUCUGAGCGAUACAGAUACAUAUCUGUAUAUAUCUUAAUUUAUAAGCGAUCUGAGGAAACCAUAUACAUUUUUAUGCAGAUUUUCAGGGGAUUUAAGAAGCUCGAUAACAUUUCAUUAUGCGGUUUUUAAUGCUGAUCAGUUUUCUUCCUGCUUUUUAUCGUGAAUAAGGGAAUUAUGAAAAUGAUGCUCAUUGUCAGUUAAAUAAAUAUUUAACAUAGAAUCGAGCAUUAUCUUAUAAUAUUAAGGUGGUUACAAAGUUUCGAACGCAUUAUCCUAAUUUUCGAAUUAUCACAUUCACGAACAAAUAUUCGCUUAUCACACAGCAUAAUGGGCCUGUUGCAAAAUUCGCUGUAGCAAAAUAAGAGUUGGAUCUUGUAUAUAAGAUCCAAUAUCUGCUAUAGCAGAUGGCUUAAAAAACACGAUGAGCGCAUCGGGAAAGUGUGGAAUGUCCUCUUAACUUCGCACGCAAGAAAUUUGCGCUUUUUAAGCUUCCCGCUUCAAAAACGAUACAACGGCACAGAUGAACAUUUCUUAAGAGGAGUCGCUCCAUCCAACCCUUCCGCACUAGGAUGCUAUACAAUAUUCAACAUGGCUGACGCUUCCGUGCGAAAAUUAUGAGGGAACAUCAUGACCUUUAUCAACGCAAGGAAAACGUAAGUAUAAACCUGCCGGUUGAUGAAAGCCCAUAC
This 1149-nucleotide long non-coding RNA is filed under the name Bemisia tabaci. RNAcentral's name for it is "lncRNA ENSSSA2NGG005663". Lineage: Eukaryota; Metazoa; Arthropoda; Insecta; Hemiptera; Aleyrodidae. The record is from RNAcentral.